This is a long non-coding RNA of Thalassophryne amazonica, 83 nucleotides long. RefSeq lists it as uncharacterized. The record is from RefSeq and is a predicted model, not a curated record. Lineage: Eukaryota; Metazoa; Chordata; Actinopteri; Batrachoidiformes; Batrachoididae. The transcript has 3 exons.
ACGUACAUUGUUUCAUCAGGAACGUGGUUCACCUGGGAGGAUCGGCACAUAAGCUCAGGAAAGAGAUGUUUCGUGUGUGUGUG